AUCUCCUUCAAUAUUGACUGUUGCCUGUAAAAGAAGACAAGUAGUUGUUGGCAUGAAGCCCCUCAUAUAAUACAGGGUUAAGUUAUGAUCUACAAGCUGCAAUUGCUCAUUUCCUUUGGUAAAAUGAACAAAAAAAAAAUGGUUAUGGAUGGAAGUAUAAAUUUAAUUCAAUCCCUUUAUUCAAGCAUACCAAGAGCAAAAGAAACACUCCACAACUACCCACAAAAAAAAGGCUGCUUUUCUCCAGGGGAGAGUAAGGAACAAUCAACAAUCUACUUCAGAAACAGGGAUUAGUUUUGGUUAAAUCCAUCCAUCUGACAGAACCAAAGGCAAAUGAACCUAUAAUGAGUUACAAAACUUAUCAUAGGCACAAGAUGUUUGAUUAACAUAUCUCAUUGUAAGUACUAAAGUUUAGUAUAUUGUAAUUGUGAAGUUAUAAAUCAGAUUCUUUGCAUACCUUAGGUCAAUGAAUGUCAAUUAAAAAAGUCUAUGAAUGAGGCCUCCUUUCUCUUAUUGAGAACAAUGUCAUAUUAUGGGAGACUCUACCAGCAAUUCUUUCAAGUUUCUACUGAAAUUUGAAGACCAAGAUUGAAAUUUAUAUCAGACUCUUGCUUAUAUCUUAGCUGCUCCCAUAUUGAUCAUGACCAAGCGAGUUUAAACCCAAAAUCAAUCAAUAGAGAAUAUAAGCCUCUAAAAUUCAACAUAAAAAAUAGUUUGGACUACAAAUCGUCAGGAAUUAGCAAACAUUUAAAUAAGCCAUGGGAAAGCAGAUACAAGGCAUAGUUCCCCUGAUUUGCAUCAAAACUGGAAUAGAAUUUUACAUGUAUUUGAGAAUUG
Molecule: unclassified non-coding RNA, 837 nt
Filed under: Hevea brasiliensis (rubber tree)
Lineage: Eukaryota; Viridiplantae; Streptophyta; Magnoliopsida; Malpighiales; Euphorbiaceae
Source: RNAcentral